RNAcentral lists this long non-coding RNA (846 nucleotides) under Manihot esculenta (cassava). RNAcentral describes it as "long non-coding RNA (MESC_LNC003365)". Lineage: Eukaryota; Viridiplantae; Streptophyta; Magnoliopsida; Malpighiales; Euphorbiaceae. The record is from RNAcentral.
GAUGAGAAGAGUUGCAUUAAAAAUGUUAAUGUUGGGGUCCCAAAAUAUCUACCCUCAUCUCAAAGGAAGCUGCAUAUGCACUGGAUAUGGAACACACCUUUCAUGGCUUCAAACAUGAUGGUCCCAUUGGUGGUUCACUGAAAAAGAAAGAAAGAAAGAAAGAAAGAAUGAAACAACAAACACAAAAAGUUGAGUGUUUUCAUGGAGUCAUUCCAAGGGUUUCUGCGGCUCCGGCAAUGGCUUGACUAUUUUAUUGUAUUUUUUUUCCCUCUAUUUACUUGUGGUUUGUGUGUCUGUGUUUUAGUUUGCUUGCAAGUUUGGUGCCUGGAUCCUUCAUUUCUAAUAUGUAGUCAAAAGUCGAUUGAUGAUUGCUCACGAGGCAUAGUUUGGAAAGUGUGAACGGGAUGCUAAAGAGUUACAUCUUCGUCCCUUUUGUCAGUGCUUUUUAGAAUUAUAUGAUCACCCAAAAUCUUUUGCUCUCCCUUCGCUUCUGGCGUGAUGCCUCUAAUUUUAUUAUGAGAGUUGUUCCACUUAGAGUUUCUACAUGCUCAUGAAUAUUUUUGCUCACCGAUCGUUACUAUCUAAUGGAGGUUGUUGGCGAUGGUGGUAACGACGAUAGAGGGAUGAGUUUUUGCUAGGGUUCCAACUAAGGUUACUAUAUGGGGUUAGGGCUUGGGUUUUAUUUUAUUUCUUAAGCUAGACGCUCGAGAAUUAUGGGUUGUUAUUUAGACUUUAAAGCUCUUAUUUGUAUUGUAGCCUCAAACCUAUGUUUAUGAAAUGCAAGCUUUGACCUUGAAAAUAAUAAUAAUAAUAAUAAUCAAGAGCUUCUUAUGCUUUGGUAUCUAA